Molecule: long non-coding RNA, 520 nt
Organism: Lagopus muta (rock ptarmigan)
Lineage: Eukaryota; Metazoa; Chordata; Aves; Galliformes; Phasianidae
Exons: 3
Source: RefSeq, a predicted model, not a curated record
AAAGGAUCUCUUCUGGAGAACCCUCCUCUGGAGUUUUGCAGUGAGUCCAGGAUGCAGAUGUCAUUCUUGGAACCCUGAACUUCAUUUUCAAAGGGACGUCCCACCAUUGAAAGUGUUCUGCUCAUGAGCUGCAUAGCAGAAAAGGGAAGAAGACUGUUACAAUAUCCUUUGUCAGACUCAAGUUUGACUAAAUUAACAACAUCAACAGCCAUGACAGUUCCUGUGGAGCUUAUAACACCAAAAGACAAUGCAGUCCAGAAACACCAAGACGUAUGGCAGCUAAAAGACCACAAGGAGAUAAGAGCAUGAGACUUAGGAAAAGAUGCUAAAAGAAUACAAUUGGAACAUUAGAAAUUAUGGUUUGGAACCAAUGUUAGAGUUAAUUUCUUUUCUGGCAGUCUGUAUGAUGCUCUAUUUCAGCAUAGGUAAUACGUUGCUGUUUGGUGAACAGCAUCUGCACAACCCCAAAGCAUUCUCUGUUUCUCAUUAUGCCCCAGGGUAGUAGGCUGGGAUGGUUAAA